RNAcentral lists this ribosomal RNA (951 nucleotides) under Triticum aestivum (bread wheat). RNAcentral's name for it is "partial small subunit ribosomal RNA". The record is from RNAcentral. Lineage: Eukaryota; Viridiplantae; Streptophyta; Magnoliopsida; Poales; Poaceae.
AUGACUUGCUACCCCUGCAAUCCUCUCCCCCACCUCCCACCCGGCACCAUAUCAUCCCCCCGGCCCUCUCAUGCUCAUCGUGGAUAUGUAGUACUUGGAGGAGAACUACCCGUGGUAUGCGAUGAGUGGAUUGUCGCCACCAUCGUCCCUGAUGUCUCUGCUGAGGAGUUCCACGGUGCCAUUGCUUUGAUCACCACCUUCGUUGAAGGUCGUGGCUGGCACAUGAACUACACCUCAUGCUGAUGUAUGGGUACGACUCUGAUCUAGUUCACCACUGCUUACUCUAGAGAUACUGCUGUCAGUAAUAGUCCAUUUCAUAUUGGAGACUCUGUUUUGAGAAUUAGUAGGCAGGACAGAGGUCUGAACUAAUGCAGCAUCACUUCUACUCAUGAUGUUCGGAUUUUAUUGAUGAACUAUCCACUAGAAUGUUGGGAUGUGGGGGUGGUUAGUCGCACGAUUCCCCCCUAUGGCAGAUUUUUGAUCCGGAACAAAGAUCCUAGGGAUAAGACUAGAAUUCUUGUGAAGCUCAGAGUUAUGAGUGUUGAUACUAUCCCUAUCAGUAUUGUUGUGCUCCAAAACCAUGAUGAUGUUGGCUAUGGGGACUCAUGGACCUGUCCUACAUACAUUCUGCCUAGAGAACUGAUUCGGCAGCAGGGUGGAAAUGAGGAUCCAAUUCCCCCAGAUGGUGGCAAUCCUCAUCCUCUGCCUCAUGUACAUGGGGUUCUUUGGCAUGAUGAGGUUCUCGGUAAUAUUCGCAUGGAUCAGGUGGUUAUCAAUCCACACAAUGAAAAUCUGGGAGCUCCAUAUGAGGAUGUACGUGCUGUUAAUAAUGACAGUGCCAAUCAUAAUGCUGGGUAUGUUGAGCAUGUUGAGCAUGUUACUAAUGAUGAUGAUAUAAAUACUAUUUUCAAUGCUGUUGUGAUAGAGGCUCCCGUGGUCGGCAUGAGCUAG